Betta splendens (Siamese fighting fish) is the source of this 2138-nucleotide long non-coding RNA. Ensembl annotates it as peripherin-like. NCBI's taxonomy places the organism in Eukaryota, Metazoa, Chordata, Actinopteri, Anabantiformes, Osphronemidae. The record is from Ensembl.
GGGCGCGGCUCUUGACAAAUGCGACCGUGACACGUUCGACUUUGUCGCUGCCAAGUCUCUCGGCGAGGACGGCCUGAAGCUGUUGGCCCAGGAACGCCGCACCAUCGCCGCCCUCAACGACCGGCUGGUCAAGCUCAUCGAGCUGGUGAGGGCCAACGCACUCUCCGCCCCCGCUGGCGCGUCAGCACUUUGCAGUUAACGCCUGGCUGCUCCCUGGGCCCCGCAGGCUCGGCGCUUGGAGGAGGAGAACGGGUCUCUUGAAUGUCAGAUUGCGGAGCUGGAGGCGCAGCCGAGCAGUGCCCCCGCCUCCGUCAGCAUCAGCACCGCGGUGGCUCAGGCCGACCGCUCUCUGGAUGCGGUGGUGGAGAGGCUGCGCAGGGAAAGGGUAGGAGGCAGCUGCUGCAGCUGGGUGUGUCAGCCGCACAUUUCUCACAGUCCAGUCCACCGCGCUGCUCGCUCAGUCCUCUUAAUGUGAUGCACAUAGCCGGCGGCGGCGGCGGCUUCAUUUAUCACCCUGUCGUGGCUCAUCAGCACGUGUCCCUCUGCAGGAUGAGAUUGUGUGCGAGUCUAGAGCGCUGCAGGACGAGCUGGAGGGUCUGAUGAGGGAGCACGAGGAGGCCGCACGCAGGAGGAGCUCAGUCCAGCAGGAACGUCAGCACGUUGCUGCGGAGGUGGAUGCCGUGACGGCGGAGUGUCUGGCGUUGAGGGAGCGGGUGCGUGUCUACGCGGCGCAGCGAGCCAACGUGGAGGCCCAGCGCACGGCGGCGGCCGAGCGUCUGCUGGAGCCCGCUGACGGGUCCACGCCGGCGGUGGCAGCCAUUAAAUUCGGCAGCCCUGCCGUCACCGCGGCCUUGGGUGUAAAGGAGUAUUACUGCCGGCUGGCGGAGAGCCUCCAGUGCGUCGUGGCUGCCGCCGCUGUGGUUUGUGGUGGUGAUGCAGAGCAGCGGGAUGUGAGAGGAGCUGGGAGGUCGGUGGUCAGAGACUGGCCGGCGACGAAGGACGCUGGUGACAUGAAGACGCUGGUCUCUGAGCUACAAAAGGAGUUUGCUGAGCUCGAACAGCGCAACGAGGAGCUGGAGGACGAGGCUGAAAUGAAGAGGGCUGCGCACAUGGAAGAGGUAGCGGAGUUGGAGUACACCAUAAAUGAGCUGCAGCACCGGGACUCCAGCUUCCGAACCCAAAUGAAGGAGCAGUGUGACGACUACAGGGUGCUGCUCAGUGAGAAGAUGGCCAGAGACAUGGAGAUCGCAGCCUACAGGAGCCUGCUGGAGGAGGAGGAGGCGAGGCUGUGCGACCUGUGACUCGAGGCCCGGCGGCUCCGGGAGCGUCUGGCGUGCGGCCGAACGCUCCCACGCUCACGCGGAUUAGAAAGCAGACAGAGGAGAAACGCAGAACCCAGAUCAGCAGUAGGGUGAAGCAUAAGGUACCGACGCAGCGGGUUGGAGCGCACGCAAACUUAUCACCACAGAUUAAUGCCGUCUGGAGGCCUAAGUCGAGUCAUUGAUAAGCGGCCGCCGGCAGAUGACCCUGAGGCUCAGAGAAGGAUGGAGCUGUCUGAGACUGAUUUGGGGGGGGGUGAUGAGAGAAAAACUGUUUGGUGUCUGGCUGGGACGUUGCCUUAAGUGGGUUCGAUUUUCACCCACUCACUUCACUGUACAAGUCUAACGCACACAGAUACGAACACGCACCAAAGCGGAACCAGCGCCGCUGCCCCUCAUCCAUCACUCAAACCGGUCACCAGCUCUUAACCCGUGACCCCCCCAAUGUUAACACACAUAUUGACGGCGCUCGCUCCACCAAGCGCAGGCGCGCCGCCGCACAGUCACGCAUCCCCGUGGCUUCUACGCGCUGCCGUGUUUGCUUUUCAAAUGGCUCGUGAGCGAGCACCUGGAUCUACAAGAGCAGCGCGAGCGCUUCAUUAGUCUCCCUCCAAAAGCAGUGUCUCAAUUUGCUGUAUUUUUGUUGUUGUUUCAGAAAAAAAAACAACAUUUGGCGAAACAUUCCUCCGUAAUCUUUUCCUGAUUUUCUACAAGCUGUCUGUGAUAAAUCAUCUUUGCGUCCUGCCUCUGCACCAGCGGCACAAUUGGCUUAAGGUUGAAUGAAAUAAAAGUAGCUGCUUUAAACUGUGGGUGUUUUCU